GAGUUUGAUCCUGGCUCAGAUUGAACGCUGGCGGCAUGCCUUACACAUGCAAGUCGAACGGCAGCAUGAUCUAGCUUGCUAGAUUGAUGGCGAGUGGCGAACGGGUGAGUAAUACAUCGGAACGUGCCCUGUAGUGGGGAGUAACUAGUCGAAAGAUUAGCUAAUACCGCAUACGACCUGAGGGUGGAAAGUAGGGGGACCGGCAAGGCCUCAUGCUAUAGGAGCGGCCGAUGUCUGAUUAGCUAGUUGGUGGGGU
RNAcentral lists this ribosomal RNA (256 nucleotides) under uncultured microorganism. RNAcentral's name for it is "partial 16S ribosomal RNA". It matches the Rfam family "Bacterial small subunit ribosomal RNA", at positions 9 to 258 of the family's 1533-position model. The record is from RNAcentral.